UACAAUGAUACAGAUAAUCAUGUAUUAGUUC
RNAcentral lists this non-coding RNA (31 nucleotides) under Mus musculus (house mouse). Lineage: Eukaryota; Metazoa; Chordata; Mammalia; Rodentia; Muridae. The record is from RNAcentral.